Molecule: unclassified non-coding RNA, 313 nt
Filed under: plant metagenome
Description: partial contains small subunit ribosomal RNA, internal transcribed spacer 1, and 5.8S ribosomal RNA
Source: RNAcentral
GUUCCGUAGGUGAACCUGCGGAAGGAUCAUUAUUGAAUGAACUUGGUAGUGGUUGUAGCUGGCUCUCUCGAGAGCAUGUGCACACCCGCCAUCUUUAUCUUUCCACCUGUGCACUUCUUGUAGACUUUGGGAUUUGAAAACUUAUCCGGGGCAACUCGGUCGGGAGGAGCUGCUGUAGCAAUACGGCUCUCCUUGACAAGUCUUCAAAGUCUAUGUUUUUCAUAUACCCCAUAGUAUGUAACAGAAUGUAUACAAAUGAGCCUUAGUGCUUAUAAAACUUAUACAACUUUCAACAACGGAUCUCUUGGCUCUC